This 2266-nucleotide long non-coding RNA is filed under the name Homo sapiens (human). Its description in RNAcentral is "HSALNT0152300". Lineage: Eukaryota; Metazoa; Chordata; Mammalia; Primates; Hominidae. The record is from RNAcentral.
UGGUAGGGCCUGUGGUGAGGCACAGUGAGGUUGGGGAGGUCUUGUUGUGGGGGAUUGGAUCCGGGCCUGGGUGCAGGGACUUUAAAGUGCUGGAGUACACAGUCACAGUGCCGUGUCCUGUGCCGUGCCACCUGUAUUCGAAGACCAUUGUUUCCUUCUUUCCUUCCUUCCUUCCUUCCUUCCUUCCUUCCUUCCAUCCAUCCUUCCUUCCUUCCUUCUUUCAUGCAAACAUCCUCCAUGGGCCAGGACCAGAGGCAGAACUGGUCCAGGAGAGGGAGACCCAGCUGCAGCUUCCCCAGGAGCUCUGGCACCUCUUUCCUGCAAGUCUCUUCCUGGAAUGAGACCCGCCUGCUGGUGGACUCUCUGACCUGGAGCUGGCAGCCUGUGCCCUGGCUGCACCUCUCACACUGUGAGCUGUGGGCAGGGCUUUCUGCUGCCACGUCCCUUGCUGCCUCUCCACUUAAUUGAGCGAAUGCGCUUCUCUUUAUUUUUGGUUUGCAUUUGGUUUCUGCCACUUGUCACCAAGAUAUCAUCACUGUGCACCCAGUUCUAUGGCUCCCACGCCCUCUUGGCCUGAGUAUCCUCUCUGGAACCUGGGCUCCUGACACCUUAAAGUAGAGCUCGACGACACUAUGGGCCUGGGUCCAUCCUUGGAGUCUCUAGGCUGAAAGAGCAUGGAUCUGGACUACAGACCAGAGGGGCCCUGUAGCAGCUCGUCCGCAGGUGGGUCACCUCGGCUCUGCCCUCUGGUCUUGAGAUGACUGUUUCCUGCUGGUUUUGGUCUCAUCUCUGAACCACCUCCCUCCAUCCCUGGGACAGGAGCUGUUUACUGAAUACUGCCAAUGCCCAAUGAUGGUUUGUUAAUGUCCUUUACAAAAUGUAGAGCAAGAAACAGAGGACAUUUCUUGAGAUGGAGGAGGAUAGCAGUUCUCUCCAGCUAGAGUAAACCCCAGUGAAGACUCGAGUCCAUGUUUCCCCUGUGCUCCCUCUGCCUCCUGACCAACCUGGUACUUCUCCGUGUGGCCCUGCACAGCCUGCCCUGCCUCCUGUUUCCAGGGAUCUGUAUGAAAACUUCUUCCUCAUGACAGUCAUCUUCAUGUUUGUGUGUCUCAUCACACCUGAUGUUUCACUGGGCAAGUUCACUUUCACAGAGCUGCAGUCACUCCUAAGCCUGAGCCCACGUGACCACGAUUCUGCUUCGUCUCUGAUCACAGCUGCAGUUCCUGGCCAUGUGACUCUGGACAAAUCCCUUCUCCUCUCAGAGCCUCCAUUUCCUCAUCAGUAAGAUGGACAUAGAAACAGCAUAAGCAAUUGUAUUAUUUAAGGGAAUGCCAAAACAGAGAAACCUUGAGGUCUCAAUGACUUAACACAGUAGAAGUUGGUUUCUCAAUCAUGGAUGGUCUGGAAUGAACAUUGAUGAUUGUUGGCUGUGGGGGAAAGUGAGUGAGGGGCCUCUGCUCUCUCAGUCAUCCUGAGGUCAAGGUCGAUAGGCCUCCUCCAUCUCUAACCCACAGCUUCCCAGGUCCCCCCAGGGGGCCAGCAUUAAAAAUCUUGUGGAAGGAUCUGGAAGCAGCACGAGUCUUCUCUCUGUACAUCCUGCUGGCCAGACACAGUCAUACAAUACAACCUAGUGACAGGGAAGAUUGGGAGAUGCCAUUUGGCAGUAUGCCAGGAAGAGUAGUAAGCAGGUUUGAUGCUGAGCUUGCAGACUCUGCCACAAAAGUCAUUGUAUUAACAGUAGGAAAGGCCAUGAGGUCAGACCUCUUAAAAUGGGACCAACAUUUUCUAGUAUGUGUGAAAAAAAUGACUCUGCCUUAAAAAAUGAAAUGGAAAAUUCUGAGCACAAGUUUAUUCUGUCCUUUAUUUAAUACAUUUAGGUUAAAUUUAAAAUGUUGUAUUAGAACUCUUUCCCUUUUUAACGCGAAAUAAUCCAUUGUAAGGAGAUGCUGCAUUUUGUGUAUCCAUUCAUCUGUUGAGGGACACUGGCUUGUUUCCACUGUUGGCUACUGUGAGUAAUGCUGCUAUGAACAUUCUAUACAAGUCUCUGACUCCCUGUUUGCAGUUUCUUUGGGUAUAUACCUAGAAGUAGAAUUGGUGGAUCAUAUGGUAACUUCAGGCGUAGCUUUUUGAGGAACUGCCAACUGUUUUCUAUAAUGGCUGCACUAUUUUACGUUUCUACCAGGAAUGUUUGAGGAUUACAAUUUCUCCACAUCCUUGACAAUGUUUAUUUUCUGUUUUUUGUAUUUUUUUUAAAUAGCCAUCCUAG